This 3372-nucleotide long non-coding RNA is filed under the name Salmo salar (Atlantic salmon). Its description in RNAcentral is "lncRNA (ENSSSAG00000099907.1, ENSSSAG00000110527.1)". Lineage: Eukaryota; Metazoa; Chordata; Actinopteri; Salmoniformes; Salmonidae. The record is from RNAcentral.
GGUUGCCUUUUUGAUGCUACUCUUGGUUUGCAUUUGGUCCAUGGGCAUUAAACUCACACUGCACUUGUUUCCUGACUCCCUGCGUCUAUGUUACAGAAUACUACCUCACAAAAUAUGGAAGCAGCAGUAGAGAAAGCUGUGUACCAGACGGUUGGUGAACAGGGACACCUACUCUGCCAACACCAUGAUCAGCUGGCGCAACUGAGUGCGACUAUGGAUGAGGUCUUCCACCACCCGAGAGGAUUCACUUGCAAAUAGCGGAGGGCCUUCUACCAGGAGUCGUCCCAGCGAACCAGUCCCCCAGCCUACCCAGCAGUCCGCCCAGGUCAGUGAUGCCCAACUAUCUCACAGACAUAUGACGGGACUCCAUCCAAAUGUCGUGGCUUCCUACUCCAGUGCUCGCUCUGUCGCUCAUCAGACUUGAGGCCCCACCACCGAGAGGUCCUUGGUUUCCCCGGUCAUUUCCCUGCUGACUGGGAGGGGCUCCAGUGGUGUCUGGUGCGUCCCAAGCCGAAGUCCACUAGGGCAGAGGGACAGCCAGGCCUAAUCGCCUAUCUCUACCCGACUUCAUUAAUGCUCUUGUGGCUGAAUGGAAGCAAGUCCCCGCAGCAAUGUUCCAACAUCUAGGGGAAAGCCUUCCCAGAAGAGUGGAGGAUGUUAUAGCAGCAAAGAGGUACCAACUGCCAAGUCAUAUGUUUGACGAGCAGGCGUGAAAUCACACCUCUUAAUUAGAAAGAGGAGCCGACUGAAGAUUGCAACAAAAUAUUUAUUGUUACUCCCAUCUAUCACAUGCAUUUAUGUUCGCUUUUCCAAGAGUUUUACAACUGGCAGUUAUGGUGUUCAUAGCAGUCAAACACAUGGAAUAAACCGACACAACACUUAAACUACAAUAACAUUCUGAGUAACGAUUACAGAUUUUUUUUCUUGCUAUGACCGUGAUAUGUUGUUUAUCUACCUUAGUUGAAUGCACAGACUGUAAGUCACUCUGGAGAAGAGCUUCUGCUGAAUGACCUAAAUGUAAAAACAAAACACUUUCAAAGCAUGCUGGGUAUUACUCUAAUAAGCUCUGCCCCCAAACAAGUCCAAAUUUGGCCGGUGCGGACCAGAUCCAAAUCUGAACGAGUCAUAGACGUUUAGGCUAUGUUUCACAAGUUUGAACAUCACAGUACAACACAAGAGUACAGUACGGUACAGGACAGUAGUGAUUUAUUCAGUAUUUUUUUUAAAUUAUAUUUAUUUCACCUUUAUUUAACCAGGUAGGCAAGUUGAGAACAAGUUCUCAUUUACAAUUACGACCUGGCCAAGAUAAAGCAAAGCAGUUCGACACAUACAACAACAGAGUUACACAUGGAGUAAAACACACAUACAGUCAAUAAUACAGUAGAAAAAUAAGUCUAUAUACAAUGUGAGCAAAUGAGGUGAGAUAAGGGAGGUAAAGGCAAAAAAGGCCAUGGUGGCAAAGUAAAUACAAUAUAGCAAGUAAAACAGUGGAAUGGUAGAUUUGUAGUGGAAGAAAGUGCAAAGUAGAAAUAGAAAUAAUGGGGUGCAAAGGAGCUAAAUAAAUACAGUAGGGGAAGAGGUAGUUGUUUUGGCUAAACGAUAGAUGGGCUAUGUACAGGUGCAGUGAUCUGUGAGCUGCUCUGACAGCUGGUGCUUAAAGCUAAGUACAGUAGAGUACAGUAGUUUAAUUCAGUACAGUAGGGUACAAUACAGAACACUUUACUUUACUGUACUCUAGUGUGCUCUACUGUAUUUUACUGUACUAUACACUUCUGUACUGUGUGCUGUACUCUGCUGUGCUCAAGGCUGGUCCGGACCAAAUCUGAACCAAUUAGAGACGUCUAUUUUUGGGCUAAAUCCAGGUCGGUCCGGACUGCACCAAUAAAAUACCAAAAGAAGUCACCUGAAGUCAAAUGCUAGGUGGGAUGUUUGUGAUUAUUCACUAAUGUCAGACAAAAACAAAACACAGUACAGUCAUAACAUAAAUGUAUUCAAAAGACAUCUAGGUCAUUACACGAAAUGAGUGCCUUUUGCAUCCCUUUCAUAUUUCAAAUUGAAAUUGUGCCCCAAUAUUGUAUUUUAAAAGCCUGCUAUAUUAAAGUGCCAUUUAAUAUAGACCACAUGGAGAAUUCAGUCAAUCUGAUUUUUAAUAGGAAUCUUGAUAUGUCCCUCCGGCACCCUCUGUGACUUCUAUGAAGAUUUUAACCCACUUAAGCCCUAUAUUUCUUCAAGUUUUCACCAUCACUGUAAAACCUUAGUUCUUUUUUUGCUUUGAAAAAGUCAUUUCGGAAGAUUCGUAUUUAUUUUAUGUGAUUAGUGAUAUAUUUACGUCUGUCCCUCACUUUAAGGUCAACCCUGUAACGUGAACUGAACUCUUGUCUUAAUAUGGUGAAAAUAUUCCAUUAAAAAAAAUCUAAAACAUUUAACAUCUAAUUAAUUAAAACAUGGUGUAAAAGCAGGUGAGCUGGCUGUAUUCUUUUAUGCCAUUUCCUUGGUUUUUUGGGGUGUAAAACUGAGCCGGUCGACCAUAACACGUCAACCCUGUUACACAUAGAUAAAAAUGUUUAAACAAUUUAAACAUUUUUGUGAAGCUUGCAUUCAAUUGCCACUCACUGUUGCACACAACAAGGUUAUUUAUAGCUGAUUUAAGGUUAAAUUGUCAACCCUGUUAUGGUCAACUCUGUUACUUUAUUUGGCACUUAAUAGACACUUAGUAAUUUUUUGGGGGUUAAAAUGAGGUUAAAUCAAAAAAAAUGUAUGACCAAGUUAGACUUCUCGAAAGGUACCAAACUGAUGGAAUGACCCGUCUAUGUAACACAAGUUUGGACAGUACAGUACAGAGUUUAAUUCAACAGAGUACAGUUUUAUUCAGUUGUGUACAGCACAUUAGAGUACAAUAGACUACAGUUGAGUUUAAUUCAGUAGAGUAUAGUAGGAUACAAUACAGUACAUUAUACUGUACUCUACCCUACUGUGCUGUACUCUACUCUACUAUACUGAACUAUACUCUAAUUUACUAUACUGUAUCCUACUUUGCUCUACUGUACUGAACUAUACUAUACUUUUCUUUUCUGUACUGUAUGCUGUGUUUUACAAACUUGUGAAACUUGGACUUCUAUUCGUUCAGAUUUGGUCCGGUCCGACCUGCUUGUCAAAACGGACACACACGCAUACACACACACAGAUGCACGCACACAGACAGACAUACGCACACACAAACAUACCUGUUCCUAUUUGAAAGAGCGCUCUUUGUUUUCAACAAAAAAGUGUUGACUUUACUUUUUUUACUUUAUCAAAAUAUUUUAUUUUCAUCCAAAUAUCAGAUGGUUACUGUUUGUUUUAUUAAGCAUUAACAUGAUGAUUUGAGUGGAG